CGUCGUCGUCGUCGUCGUCGUCGUCUGGCGCCCAGAGAUUUCUCACCAGCUCGAAGGUAGCCGGGUCCGCCGUAAGCGUAUAACUAACGCUUGAUGUGAUGCGAACUCGACGUCUCAAAUGGUGCACGAACGGUCCGGCAGAAAAACGAUCGUUGAUCGGGACACCUGUCGCCUUGACCUACGCGAUGUAAUUUAAUGGAGACUGUGUCGAUCGUGGAGGGUGAGAUGUAAUGAGCAUUUUUGAUUACCGUCCUUUUAAUCGUCGGUCGAUUCCGUUUAUUCGGAAGCCACAUCAUACCGUUACGUACGCGAUACUUAAAAAUGUACGAUCGUUCGAUCGAAGCGAUUUUGAUAGGAGAAAAAAACAAAAAAAAAAAACACGAUUUCUACAAACGAAAUGAAAAAUUCUCGACGAUCGGUAUGCAGAGGUUUACGUAUAUGUAACUUAUUACCUGCAUAGGUGUGUAAAUGGGGAGGAUCUAUUAUACCGUACACACCGUAUAACGUACGUGAAUGCUAUUGGGCAACAGUAUGCGGUCGGAACGAACUGGGCCAAUUAAAAUUGCGGAAAGCUGAUAUAUCGCACACGGUUCACAAUCGUCCGUCCGUCUCUCGGGGAGAAAAAAAGAGAGGGGAAAAAAAGGAGAGAGAGAGAGAGAGA
Athalia rosae (coleseed sawfly) is the source of this 661-nucleotide long non-coding RNA. RefSeq lists it as uncharacterized. NCBI's taxonomy places the organism in Eukaryota, Metazoa, Arthropoda, Insecta, Hymenoptera, Athaliidae. The record is from RefSeq and is a predicted model, not a curated record. The transcript is spliced from 2 exons.